Nematostella vectensis (starlet sea anemone) is the source of this 1054-nucleotide long non-coding RNA. RefSeq lists it as uncharacterized. The record is from RefSeq and is a predicted model, not a curated record. Lineage: Eukaryota; Metazoa; Cnidaria; Anthozoa; Actiniaria; Edwardsiidae. The transcript is spliced from 7 exons.
AAUGAGUGUGUAACAAAGAAACCCUGCAAGAACGAUGCGAGCUGCAUCAACAACGAAGGCGGCUACACGUGCAAGUGUACUUCGGGAUUCACCGGGAAAAACUGUGAAAAUGACGUAAAUGAGUGUGUAACAAAGAAACCCUGCAAGAACGGUGCAAGUUGCAUCAACAACAAAGGCGGCUACACGUGCAAGUGUACUUCGGGAUUCACCGGGAAAAACUGUGAAAAUGACGUAAAUGAGUGUGUAACAAAGAAACCCUGCAAGAACGGUGCAAGUUGCAUCAACAACAAAGGCGGCUACACGCGCAAGUGCACUGAGGGAUUUAUCGGAAAAAAACUGUGAAAAUGACGUUAAUGAGUGUAUGACAACGAAACCUUGUAAGAAUGGAGGGAAGUGUGUGAACAGCGAUGGCGGCUAUCGUUGCGAAUGCGGCGAUGACUUUUAAGGAAAACACUGUAAAAUCGAGAAUCAAAAUGGAGGUGCCAUUAAGUACAAGAACCUUGGCUGCUUUAAAGACAAGGGAAGCAACAGGGUAUUUCCAAAAAUGAUAAAGAACCUCCGAUCAGAGAUAGUGUGGAGCGACAUGAAGACCAGUGUGGUCGACAAAUGUGAAAAGGAAGCCAAGGAAGCGGGAUAUUCAAAGUUCGCCAUUCAGUUCUACGGAGAGUGCUGGGUGGGACCAUCGGACGCUGAUUACGCAAAAUACGGCGAGUCUGAACUCUGCUGGAGCGGUGUCGGGGGCACUGAUGUCAUCAAUCAAGUCUAUCUCCUCCAAUGAGGUGAGGCAUGGUGACAAUUUAGAACCUCUCCUCCACUGAAAAAGCUCAUACUCGGAGUCCAUCAAGUCGACCAUUUUCUAUGUCCACUCAAUGAGAAAGCUAAAAUGAUGUAUUUUAGAAGGGGUAAACAGAAACCAUUUAGAUAUAGGGUGGACCGAUUGAUGCCACAACUUGAAGUAAAUCCUGUUUAACAUAUCCACCAAAUACAUAUUGUUCAAAUAAACGAACAAACAAAAUGACCUUUGCAUGUUGAUUGUACAUGGAACAAACAGCAA